GAUGAACGCUGGCGGCGUGCCUAAUACAUGCAAGUCGAGCGAACGGACGAGAAGCUUGCUUCUCUGAUGUUAGCGGCGGACGGGUGAGUAACACGUGGAUAACCUACCUAUAAGACUGGGAUAACUUCGGGAAACCGUAGCUAAUACCGGAUAAUAUUUUGAACCGCAUGGUUCAAAAGUGAAAGACGGUCUUGCUGUCACUUAUAGAUGGAUCCGCGCUGCAUUAGCUAGUUGGUAAGGUAACGGCUUACCAAGGCAACGAUGCAUAGCCGACCUGAGAGGGUGAUCGGCCACACUGGAACUGAGACACGGUCCAGACUCCUACGGGAGGCAGCAGUAGGGAAUCUGCCGCAAUGGGCGAAAGCCUGACGGAGCAACGCCGCGUGAGUGAUGGAGGUCUUCGGAUCGUAAAACUCUGUUAUUAGGGAAGAACAUAUGUGUAAGUAACUGUGCACAUCUUGACGGUACCUAAUCAGAAAGCCACGGCUAACUACGU
This 496-nucleotide ribosomal RNA is filed under the name uncultured bacterium. RNAcentral's name for it is "partial 16S ribosomal RNA". It matches the Rfam family "Bacterial small subunit ribosomal RNA", at positions 28 to 506 of the family's 1533-position model. The record is from RNAcentral.